GGCAAGACGGAUUACCAGGACGUGUACUCCAAGCAUGCGCUGACCAACGGGUACAUGGUGGAACUCUGAGGGAGAGGAGAGAUCUGGGAUGGGAUGGGCCCUCACCAAAGGUACCUGUCUACUCCUUCUGAUUCCUCUUGGCUCCUGGGGACGUCUCAGCCUCCAGCAUGCCUCUCCCAGGAAGCCAUAACUCUCUUUUUGAGGAAGUGAGCUGUGCAUGGAGUGCUCUCUGCAUCUGUCUGGGAGAGAAAAGGGGGAACAAGAGGUCAGACAGGCCUGGGACCACUUCUAACAUGCAUUAUGGAUGACGGCUAGCAUGUGCUUGAAUAUUUACAUUUGUCUAAAGGUGAUGCAAAUACUAAGUUGACUGAGAGAGUGCUAUGUUAGUCUGACAACUAAGGUUCCCUCACAAACAGUUAGGUCUUGUGCCAAUCUUGAACAUAAAAAAAACAUGAUUGGCACACCAACUUAGUUUGCAUGGAGCCAUUGAUUUAAUCAAGAACCAAAAUGAUGUAAUUGUAAGUGUAUUCAUACUAUGAUUUACAAACACCAGGAUGCUUUAUCCUUCACUGUACUAUUAAAGCGUUCUGAUUUUUAA
Oncorhynchus kisutch (coho salmon) is the source of this 598-nucleotide long non-coding RNA. RefSeq lists it as uncharacterized. The transcript has 2 exons. The record is from RefSeq and is a predicted model, not a curated record. Lineage: Eukaryota; Metazoa; Chordata; Actinopteri; Salmoniformes; Salmonidae.